Molecule: ribosomal RNA, 458 nt
Filed under: Capnocytophaga gingivalis
Lineage: Bacteria; Pseudomonadati; Bacteroidota; Flavobacteriia; Flavobacteriales; Flavobacteriaceae
Description: bacterial SSU rRNA
Rfam family: Bacterial small subunit ribosomal RNA
Source: RNAcentral
GAUGGACGCUAGCGGCAGGCCUAACACAUGCAAGUCGAGGGAGAAGCCCUUCGGGGCAGAAACCGGCGCACGGGUGCGUAACGCGUAUGCAACCUACCUUUCACAGGGGGAUAGCCCGAAGAAAUUUGGAUUAAUACCCCAUAAUAUUGUUGGAUGGCAUCAUCUGGCAAUUAAAACUGAGGUGGUGAGAGAUGGGCAUGCGUCCUAUUAGCUAGUUGGAGUGGUAACGGCACCCCAAGGCUACGAUAGGUAGGGGUCCUGAGAGGGAGAUCCCCCACACUGGUACUGAGACAGGGACCAGACUCCUACGGGAGGCAGCAGUGAGGAAUAUUGGUCAAUGGUCGGAAGACUGAACCAGCCAUGCCGCGUGCAGGAAGAAUGCCUUAUGGGUUGUAAACUGCUUUUAUAUGGGAAGAAUAAGGAGUACGAGUACUUUGAUGACGUACCAUAUGAUAAGC